GACGAACGCUGGCGGCGUGCCUAACACAUGCAAGUCGAACGAACAAGCGCGUGCCUUUUUCGUGGGUGUGGAUGAGCGGCGGACGGGUGAGUAACACGUGAGUAUACCUCCCCGAUCUUCUGGAUAACCGCAAAACAGUGCUGCUAAUGCGGGAUAUAUUGAGUCUCUUGCUUCACGGGUCUGGGAAAGUUUUUGUUUCGGUGAUGGCUGGGCCCGCGGCCUAUCAGCUGGUUGGUGGGGUGAUGGCCUACCAAGGCGGUGACUAGUAGCCGGCCUGAGCGGGUGGACGAUCACACUGGGACGGAGACACGGCCAAGACUCCUACGGGAGGCAGCAGGGGGUAAUACGGCACGAUGGGCGGGAGCAUGAUGCAGCGACGCCGCGUGAGGGAUGGAGGCCGUCGGGGUGAAAACCGCUGUUGCGAGUGAAGCAGGCCUGCCUCGUCUGUGGGUGGGUUGACGGUAGCUGGAUAAGAAGCGCCGGCUAACUACGUG
RNAcentral lists this ribosomal RNA (494 nucleotides) under uncultured bacterium. RNAcentral's name for it is "partial 16S ribosomal RNA". It matches the Rfam family "Bacterial small subunit ribosomal RNA", at positions 28 to 507 of the family's 1533-position model. The record is from RNAcentral.